Molecule: long non-coding RNA, 1219 nt
Filed under: Salmo salar (Atlantic salmon)
Lineage: Eukaryota; Metazoa; Chordata; Actinopteri; Salmoniformes; Salmonidae
Description: lncRNA (ENSSSAG00000111102.1)
Source: RNAcentral
AAUAUAUUGACGGAACGUCAGGGACUCAUCAAUGCAUAGGUCCUUGUAUGCCACAAAGACCCGACCAAAGGCUGAUGUCAUUUCUUAUUUUGUAUAACGGGUCAUUUAGGAUGGCAGUAGCAUUGUUGAUGAAAUAGAACUAGGAAGCGGUCUUGGGAAAAGAGGUUGGCUAAGAAGAGAGUUGCAAACAUAGGAUCUGUGCUCCAGUAUUCUCUUAGGAAGUUCUUCUUUACUAUCCCCAUGAGAAGGACUGUCACCAGGAAGCUCCAAGGAAUGGCGAUUGGUCUCCUCUACUAUGUCUCCCACCAGCUCCUCUGUCAGAAACAACUUGAAGCACUCUGCCUCAGAUGGAAAUGGCAAGGGGCAUGGCACUCCAGACUUGGACUCAUCAAAGCAAACACCAGGGCCAAGAGGGGUGAAAUGGCUGGCGGCCUUCCAGCUACCACUGAACUCCAGUACUUCAUCCACUUUCGGUCUGCCUUCAUCACCACCAGCAUCUUCAAAAGGACCUGGGACUUCGUCAGUGGACAAGGAGUCCUCAGAUCCAGUUUUUUCAAUGGCUACAAGGUUGGGGGGCAGCUCCUCACUGUCAGAAUCUGAUUCCUGACUUUCAUACUCAGACUCAUUGACAGAAUAAAAAAAAUCUCAAAAAUAUCCGCAUUUGUGAGUUGUCUCCUUUUGAAAGACAUUGCUAAUGCUACAGCUUAUCUCACUAGCUACAUACAUAAACAACAACACUGAAUGGCUCAGAGUGGGAGUGAGAGGUUACGUGAUUGACUGCCGGCACGCACCACUUGUAUCACUAAAUCACUAUCAGAAAAUGUUUUGUGUGGUAAUUGUUUAUAUAUUUACUGUUUUAUUCACAUGUUUUCAAGUUCUAUUGACAAAUCAUGCAUUCCGAUUCUUGCAUAGAUUGUAAUGGGCACAUAUGUGUGUAAAAUACUUUUUUGAAGGUUGUAAUGAUUAUGAUGAGCUAAGCUAAUUCCAGCUGUGUGUGGAGCCAUGUUUGUUGACAUACAAUGCAUUCUGGGUUUCACGUAAUCGUCUGUCGAACCAAAUAUGUUAUAACAAAAUGAGGUGAGUAAGGGUUCACACAUUUUUUGAGAACUUCCGGAAAUGAAUGGUGGGUUGUGAACGAUGGUAGACAACACCCCCUUCAACAUGCGUACAAUAAACAUACCAAACUCAUCUUGUCUUCUCUUAUUUUGGGUUUUGUGAG